This 229-nucleotide unclassified non-coding RNA is filed under the name plant metagenome. RNAcentral describes it as "partial contains small subunit ribosomal RNA, internal transcribed spacer 1, and 5.8S ribosomal RNA". The record is from RNAcentral.
UCUCCGUAGGUGAACCUGCGGAGGGAUCAUUACAGAGUUCAUGCCCUACCGGGUAGAUCUCCCACCCUAUGUUAUUAUUACUUUGUUGCUUUGGCGGGCCGUUAGGCUCCGGCCCGACUACCGGCCCCGGCUGGUAAGCGCCCGCCAGAGGACCCAAAACCCUGAAUAUUAGUGUCGUCUGAGUACUCUAUAAUAGUUAAAACUUUCAAUAACGGAUCUCUUGGUUCUG